RNAcentral lists this ribosomal RNA (450 nucleotides) under uncultured bacterium. Its description in RNAcentral is "partial 16S ribosomal RNA". It matches the Rfam family "Bacterial small subunit ribosomal RNA", at positions 354 to 796 of the family's 1533-position model. The record is from RNAcentral.
GUGAGGAAUAUUGGGCAAUGGGCGAAAGCCUGACCCAGCCACGCCGCGUGAGUGAUGAAGGCCUUCGGGUUGUAAAGCUCUGUGGGGAGGGAAGAAAAAGCGGGAGAGUAACUGCUCUCGUGUUGACGGUACCUCCUUAGCAAGCACCGGCUAACUCUGUGUCAGCAGCCGCGGUAAUACAGAGGGUGCAAACGUUGCUCGGAAUUACUGGGCGUAAAGCGCGUGUAGGCUGACAUGCAAGUCGGGUGUGAAAUCCCAGGGCUCAACCUUGGAACUGCACUCGAAACUGCACGUCUUGAGUACUGGAGAGGGAAGCGGAAUUCCGGGUGUAGAGGUGAAAUUCGUAGAUAUCCGGAGGAACACCAGUGGCGAAGGCGGCUUCCUGGACAGUAACUGACGCUGAGGCGCGAAAGUGUGGGGAGCAAACAGGAUUAGAUACCCGAGUAGUCC